AUACGGAGGUUGCGAGCGUUAUCCGGAUUUAUUGGGUUUAAAGGGAGCGUAGGUGGGAUAUUAAGUCAGCUGUGAAAGUUUGGGGCUCAACCUUAAAAUUGCAGUUGAUACUGGUUUCCUUGAGUACGGUACAGGUGGGCGGAAUUCGUGGUGUAGCGGUGAAAUGCUUAGAUAUCACGAAGAACUCCGAUCGCGAAGGCAGCUCACCGGGCCGGAACUGACACUGAUGCUCGAAAGUGCGGGUAUCAAACAGGAUUAGAUACCCUGGUAGUCCGCACAGAAAACGAUGAAUACUCGCUGUUUGCGAUACACUGUAAGCGGCCAAGCGAAAGCGUUAAGUAUUCCACCUGGGGAGUACGCCGGCAACGGUGAAACUCAAAUGAAUUGACGGGG
This 393-nucleotide ribosomal RNA is filed under the name uncultured bacterium. RNAcentral describes it as "partial 16S ribosomal RNA". It matches the Rfam family "Bacterial small subunit ribosomal RNA", at positions 523 to 918 of the family's 1533-position model. The record is from RNAcentral.